Molecule: ribosomal RNA, 253 nt
Filed under: uncultured bacterium
Lineage: Bacteria
Description: partial 16S ribosomal RNA
Rfam family: Bacterial small subunit ribosomal RNA
Source: RNAcentral
UACGUAGGGCGCAAGCGUUAUCCGGAAUUAUUGGGCGUAAAGAGCUCAUAGGCGGUUUGUCGCGUCUGCCGUGAAAGUCCGGGGCUCAACUCCGGAUCUGCGGUGGGUACGGGCAGACUAGAGUGAUGUAGGGGAGACUGGAAUUCCUGGUGUAGCGGUGAAAUGCGCAGAUAUCAGGAGGAACACCGGUGGCGAAGGCGGGUCUCUGGGCCGUAACUGACGCUGAGGAGCGAAAGCAUGGGGAGCGAACAGG